Molecule: long non-coding RNA, 422 nt
Filed under: Arabidopsis lyrata
Lineage: Eukaryota; Viridiplantae; Streptophyta; Magnoliopsida; Brassicales; Brassicaceae
Description: long non-coding RNA (ALYR_LNC003420)
Source: RNAcentral
UGUCACCAAAGUGCACUUAUCUUUUCGGCCAACUGUCCUGAGAAAACUCCAUAGUUAAGCGUGCUUGGGCUGGAGCAAUUUCAGGAUGGGUGACCUUCCGGAAAGUGAUUGUCAGAACUGUGUGAGUGAGGACAAAACACGGGGAAAGAUCAUGUGGUGAUUUGUAGGGUUGGUAAACAAGUCUUUAAAGCUUCCCAGACGUAGCGAACCGACCGUCGGACACGGGUCGUUACAGCCCAAAUUCUUGAGUUUGAAAACAACCAUUCGUAAUGCCUCGGCUUCAGCCUCUAGCGCCGAAUUAGUUGGACUGAUAGCCGCAGAACCUUUAAGAACACGGUUUGUAUUCUUGUCAUAAAGUGCCCAACCAAUUCUAGCUUGUUGAGAUGGGGAGUGUUGGUGUCGGAUCCCGCACCAGAAGUCCG